GUGUCAGCAGCCGCGGUAAUACAGAGGGUGCGAGCGUUGUCCGGAAUCACUGGGCGUAAAGGGCGCGUAGGCGGUCUGCUAAGCGUGUGGUGAAAGCUCGGGGCUCAACCCCGAGUCGGCCGUGCGAACUGGUGGACUGGAGCAUGUCAGAGGCAGGCGGAAUUCCGGGUGUAGCGGUGGAAUGCGUAGAGAUCCGGAAGAACACCGGUGGCGAAGGCGGCCUGCUGGGACAUUGCUGACGCUGAGGCGCGACAGCGUGGGGAGCAAACAGGAUUAGAAACCCGCGUAGUCC
Molecule: ribosomal RNA, 292 nt
Filed under: uncultured bacterium
Lineage: Bacteria
Description: partial 16S ribosomal RNA
Rfam family: Bacterial small subunit ribosomal RNA
Source: RNAcentral